CAGUGCCACGGAAGAACCCAAUCUGGGACUUAAGCUGGGAUGCAGAACACCGAGGUGCAGUUUCCCAGCUCUGCUACAGCCAUCAUAUAACACCUUGAGCAAAUCACUCUGCCUCCAUUCCCUUCUUUAACAAUGGGAAAAUAAUUUCUUUCACCAUUCUUUAUCAGUUCAUUAAUUCAGUGGGGCAGCAAAUAUGUCAUAUAGCCUAAUUGUCACAUGCUUAACGCAGAAGGAUCCUAAUUUUGUAGGACUUCGCUUAGAUACCUACAGACCCUAGUACUUCUAUACUCAUCAUCAUUACUACAGAUCUUCGUAACAGCUAUAUGCGGAGUAUAUAUAAAUUUGACCGAGAAUCACCGACGCUGAAAAACCGGGAUUUUACAACUAACUGAACAAGUUUGCCCAUAAUAAUAAUAUGCUGUGAGAAUGUUCCUCAGUACAACUAUGUGUCUCAAUUAUAUUAAUCUAUUCCUCAGAUUUAAAAACUUAAUUAAAGCAACCAUUGAACAC
This is a long non-coding RNA of Aptenodytes forsteri (emperor penguin), 510 nucleotides long. RefSeq lists it as uncharacterized. The transcript is spliced from 2 exons. The record is from RefSeq and is a predicted model, not a curated record. NCBI's taxonomy places the organism in Eukaryota, Metazoa, Chordata, Aves, Sphenisciformes, Spheniscidae.